UCGGGAAUUUUGGGCAAUGGGCGAAAGCCUGACCCAGCAACGCCGCGUGAGGGAUGAAGUAUUUCGGUAUGUAAACCUCGAAAGAAUGGGAAGAAUAAAUGACGGUACCAUUUAUAAGCUCCGGCUAACUACGUGCCAGCAGCCGCGGUAAUACGUAGGGAGCAAGCGUUGUUCGGAUUUACUGGGCGUAAAGGGCGCGUAGGCGGCGCGGUAAGUCACUUGUGAAAUCUCUGAGCUUAACUCAGAACGGCCAAGUGAUACUGCUGUGCUAGAGUGCGGAAGAGGCAACCGGAAUUCUUGGUGUAGCGGUGAAGUGCGUAGAUAUCAAGAGGAACACCUGAGGCGAAGGCGGGUUGCUGGGCCGACACUGACGCUGAUGCGCGAAAGCCAGGGGAGCAAACG
Molecule: ribosomal RNA, 402 nt
Filed under: uncultured bacterium
Lineage: Bacteria
Description: bacterial SSU rRNA
Rfam family: Bacterial small subunit ribosomal RNA
Source: RNAcentral